CCUACGGGAGGCAGCAGUGGGGGAUAUUGCACAAUGGGGAAACCCUGAUGCAGCGACGCCGCGGGUGGGAAGACGGUCCUCUGGAUUGUAAACCACUGUCCCCAGGGACGAAGAUGACGGUACCUGGGGAGGAAGCUACGGCUAACUACGUGCCAGCAGCCGCGGUAAUACGUAGGGAGCGAGCGUUGUCCGGAAGUACUGGGUGAAAAGGGAGCGUAGGCGGGACUGCAAGUUGGGUGGCAAAUCUACCGGCUCAACCGGUAGCCGCACUCAAAACUGCAGUUCUUGAGUGAAGUAGAGGCAGGCGGAAUUCCUAGUGUAGCGGUGAAAUGCGUAGAUAUUAGGAGGAACACCAGUGGCGAAGGCAGCCUGCUGGGCUUUUACUGACGCUGAGGCUCGAAAGUGUGGGGAGCAAACAGGAUUAGAUACCCUAGUAGUC
This 439-nucleotide ribosomal RNA is filed under the name uncultured bacterium. RNAcentral describes it as "partial 16S ribosomal RNA". It matches the Rfam family "Bacterial small subunit ribosomal RNA", at positions 338 to 795 of the family's 1533-position model. The record is from RNAcentral.